AGGACGAACGCUGGCGGCGUGCCUAAUACAUGCAAGUCGAACGCACUGACGUCGACAGAAGGUGCUUGCACUGGAAGUUGAUUGACGUGAGUGGCGGACGGGUGAGUAACACGUGGGCAACCUGCCCUUAAGCGGGGGAUAACAUUUGGAAACAGAUGCUAAUACCGCAUAAAAGUUGAGAUCACAUGGUCUUAAUUUGAAAGACGGCCUUUGGCUGUCACUUAAGGAUGGACCCGCGGCGUGUUAGCUAGUUGGUGAGAUAAUAGCCCACCAAGGCGAUGAUACGUAGCCGACCUGAGAGGGUAAUCGGCCACAUUGGGACUGAGACACGGCCCAAACUCCUACGGGAGGCAGCAGUAGGGAAUCUUCCACAAUGGACGAAAGUCUGAUGGAGCAACGCCGCGUGAGUGAAGAAGGUUUUCGGAUCGUAAAACUCUGUUGUUGGAGAAGAACAGGGACUAGAGUAACUGUUAGUCCUUUGACGGUAUCCAACCAGAAAGCCACGGCUAACUACGUGCCAGCAGCCGCGGUAAUACGUAGGUGGCAAGCGUUGUCCGGAUUUAUUGGGCGUAAAGCGAGCGCAGGCGGUUUCUUAAGUCUGAUGUGAAAGCCUUCGGCUUAACCGAAGAAGUGCAUCAGAUACUGGGAAACUUGAGUGCAGAAGAGGAAAGUGGAACUCCAUGUGUAGCGGUGAAAUGCGUAGAUAUAUGGAAGAACACCAGUGGCGAAGGCGGCUUUCUGGUCUGUAACUGACGCUGAGGCUCGAAAGUAUGGGGAGCGAACAGGAUUAGAUACCCUGGUAGUCCAUACCGUAAACGAUGAAUGCUAAGUGUUGGAGGGUUUCCGCCCUUCAGUGCUGCAGCUAACGCAUUAAGCAUUCCGCCUGGGGAGUACGACCGCAAGGUUGAAACUCAAAGGAAUUGACGGGGGCCCGCACAAGCGGUAGAGCAUGUGGUUUAAUUCGAAGCUACGCGAAGAACCUUACCAGGUCUUGACAUCUAGCGCCAAUCCUAGAGAUAGGACGUUCCCUUCGGGGACGCUAAGACAGGUGGUGCAUGGUUGUCGUCAGCUCGUGUCGUGAGAUGUUGGGUUAAGUCCCGCAACGAGCGCAACCCUUAUGAUUAGUUGCCAGCAUUUAGUUGGGCACUCUAAUCAGACUGCCGGUGACAAACCGGAGGAAGGGGGGGA
Molecule: ribosomal RNA, 1188 nt
Filed under: uncultured bacterium
Lineage: Bacteria
Description: bacterial SSU rRNA
Rfam family: Bacterial small subunit ribosomal RNA
Source: RNAcentral